This 233-nucleotide long non-coding RNA is filed under the name Lathyrus oleraceus (garden pea). RNAcentral describes it as "Pisum sativum (pea) long non-coding RNA (PSAT_LNC026431)". Lineage: Eukaryota; Viridiplantae; Streptophyta; Magnoliopsida; Fabales; Fabaceae. The record is from RNAcentral.
GCAAAUAAGUAAAUGUAUUGUAUAUAUAAACAAAAAUAAUAGUACAAAAUACAAAAUGUUCAAACAACCAGCAGAAGCUACAAAGACAACAGAAGAAGUGUACAGAUAACUCUGCUGAAAAGAAACUAAGAGGAGAGAGAUAUAAAAACCAGAGAGAAAAAAGACCAGCAGCUCCAAGAACCAGAAAAACCACCAAAACAACUAGGCUAGAGCCAGAAAAAGGAAUCACUAUC